This 777-nucleotide ribosomal RNA is filed under the name uncultured Neocallimastigales. RNAcentral's name for it is "partial large subunit ribosomal RNA". It matches the Rfam family "Eukaryotic large subunit ribosomal RNA", at positions 18 to 640 of the family's 3401-position model. The record is from RNAcentral. Lineage: Eukaryota; Fungi; Neocallimastigomycota; Neocallimastigomycetes; Neocallimastigales.
UCAGACGAUGCGUCAUGCAUAUCAAUAAGCGGAGGAAAAGAAACUAACUAGGAUUCCCUCAGUAACGGCGAGUGAAGCGGGAAGAGCUCAAAUUUGAAAUCUUCAAGGUUUUACCUUGACGAAUUGUAGUUUAAAGAAGUGUUUUCUGUUGAAGUCUUGGUAAAAGUUCUUUGGAAUAGGACAUCAUAGAGGGUGAGAAUCCCGUAUUUGACCAUUAUUUUCAGCUGUGUGAUACACUUUCAAAGAGUCGGAUUGUUUGGGAAUGCAGUCCAAAAUGGGUGGUAAAUUUCAUCUAAAGCUAAAUAUUGGCGAGAGACCGAUAGCGUACAAGUACCGUGAGGGAAAGAUGAAAAGAACUUUGAAAAGAGAGUUAAACAGUACGUGAAAUUGUCAAAAGGGAAGCGUUUGACACCAGUGUUGUUUUCUCGAAAAUCAAUUAAAAAGAGUUGGAUUUUGUGUUGUAUUGACCUUAACAGCUUGCUUCACUCUUUUCCUGCUUUUUUUAAUGCACUUUUCGUUUAACAAGUCAACAUCAGUUUCUUUUGUUGUAAAAGGGUCAUUGGAAGGUGGCUUUCAUUUCGGUAGAAAGUGUUUAUAGCCUUUGACUCUCUGCAAUCGGAGAGAUUGAGGUCUGCAGCGUAGAUCCUUCGGGGUUAGAUACAUUUGUGCUAAGUUAUAGCUUUUCAUAGACAACAUGUUGACUAUGAUUAAGUCAUGUAGCUUACUCGCUUAUGCUAUUUUACCUACGCUUAGGAUGUUGAUAUGCAUGACUGAUAU